UGCUUUUUAGGGGCUCCCUUUGGAGUUCCUUGAUCUACCUUUCAUGUCUUGUAACUGUCUUUUCAUGUUUUUAAAAAUCAUAGUCUGUGUCUCUGUAUGCUGAAUCCUGGGCAAGAGUUUCUCAGGACCAUCUUCAAAUUCACAAAUUCAUUCUUUGUGUUUAGUUUAGACUACAUAGUCAACUGACCAGUGUUUUUUUUUUUUUAAUCCAUCAAAAAAAUUUUAUUGGAGAAAUUGUGACUGAGAAAUAGUAAGAUGCCUUGGAAUUGAACACAAGCAUCUAAAAUAAGAGCAGAGUUCAGGAUUGUUGUAAUUGUGUGUGUGUUCUUUAGUUCUUAUGACAUCCAGUUUUUCUCACACCACUUCCUAAAGACUUUCUUUUCCCUGUGGAAUCACCUUGUCAGUUUUUCUUUCUUUCUUUCUUUCUUUUUUUAUAUAAAGUCAGUUGAUUGUGGAAGUGUGAACCUAAACCAUUAAGUUCACAGUAUUUUUUUUAAAUAGCAAAAAUAACUAGAAAAGUUCUGUGUUUUCUUUCUUAGUUAUUCUUUUUCUCUUUGUGCAUUGGCUUGUAUACUUUCUAGUUCACUUAUUCAUUUUCCUGCUAUUGCAGUUUGCUGAUAAGUCCAUUGAAAUAAUUCUUCAUUUCCAUAUCAUGUUUUUCAAAUCUGAUACUUGUAUUCAGAUUUUUUUUUGAAUUUUCUUUUCACUGCUGCUCAUGCACAGCAAUUUCUGUAUUUUUUUUAACCAUUUCCUCUCUUAAAGUUAGGUCACAUGCUCUUGCUUUUUCACUUACUUACAGUUUUUUUUUUUUAAUUGAAUCGGAGAUAUUAUGUAUAAAAUGAUAGUAUGAACUAUAAGUAAAUAGUAUUUAUGCCCAUAAUGGUCAUAUAUCUUCUUUGUCAGGCCACUAGUGUGAAGGAUUGAGCCAAUCUAGGCUGCAGUGGACCGGGUUUAGGCUUUGCUUUUAUUCUCAUUAGAUGUUACUAUCACAGUCUCAAAUUACUUAAAAACAGGAGCAGGUCCUUCUCUUUCACAGGGAUUGGGGUCUGAUUGCCUCAGGAUCUGCUCUCAACUUUCCUCUCCGCCCUCAGCCUUCAGCAGCAUAGGAGAAAGCUCUCAGGUCUCCUGCCUCUCCCCGCAGUAGCAGGUGGCCAGUCUGCGCUUUUUAUAGGUUUACACCUAAAGUAAGAUGAUUUAUAAAAGCUAAAGAUAAGAGGUAUGUAGAAUGAGACAUCAACAAAACAGAAACAAAAGCUAGCAUGGAGCAAUAAAAAGUAAUGAGCUAUCAAGCACAGAAAGACAUGGAGGAAAUUUAAAAGCAUGUUGCUAAGUGAAAGAAGCCAAUCUGAAAAGGCUGCAUUGUAUACGACAUUCUGGCUGAGGCCAAGCUGGAGACAGUAAGAUCUGUGUUUACACUGGGUUGAGGGGAGGAGAGGAGGAUACAUAGGUGGAACACAGAGGGGUUUUAGGGCACUGAAACUCUUCUGUAUGACACUAUAAUGAGGGACACAUAUCAUCAUAUUUGGUUAAAUACAUAGAAGGUACAACACAAAGAGUAAGCCCUAAUGUAAAUGAUAGAUUUUAGUUAAUAAUGUAUCAAUAUUGAUUAAUCAAUUGUAACAAAACAAAUCCCACAAAGAUGGAAAUGAGGGCAACUGUGGGAAUUCUGUAUUUUCUGACCUAUUUUUC
Mustela putorius furo (domestic ferret) is the source of this 1689-nucleotide long non-coding RNA. The record is from Ensembl. Lineage: Eukaryota; Metazoa; Chordata; Mammalia; Carnivora; Mustelidae.